AACGAACGCUGGCGGCAGGCCUAACACAUGCAAGUCGAACGCUGCAGCAAUACAGAGUGGCAGACGGGUGAGUAACGCGUGGGAACGUGCCCUUUGGUUCGGAAUAACCCAGGGAAACUUGGGCUAAUACCGGAUACGUCCGUAAGGAGAAAGAUUUAUCGCCAAAGGAUCGGCCCGCGUCGGAUUAGCUAGUUGGUGAGGUAAAGGCUCACCAAGGCGACGAUCCGUAGCUGGUCNGAGAGGAUGACCAGCCACACUGGGACUGAGACACGGCCCAGACUCCUACGGGAGGCAGCAGUGAGGAAUAUUGGACAAUGGGCGCAAGCCUGAUCCAGCCAUGCCGCGUGAGUGAUGAAGGCCUUAGGUUGUAAAGCUCUUUACCCGGGAAGAUAAUGACGAUACCGGAGAAUAAGCCCGGCUAACUUCGUGCCAGCAGCCGCAGUAAC
This 446-nucleotide ribosomal RNA is filed under the name uncultured bacterium. RNAcentral's name for it is "bacterial SSU rRNA". It matches the Rfam family "Bacterial small subunit ribosomal RNA", at positions 29 to 524 of the family's 1533-position model. The record is from RNAcentral.